RNAcentral lists this ribosomal RNA (271 nucleotides) under uncultured prokaryote. RNAcentral describes it as "partial 16S ribosomal RNA". It matches the Rfam family "Bacterial small subunit ribosomal RNA", at positions 524 to 794 of the family's 1533-position model. The record is from RNAcentral.
UACGGAGGAUCCGAGCGUUAUCCGGAUUUAUUGGGUUUAAAGGGUGCGUAGGUGGAUUGGUAAGUCAGUGGUGAAAGUUUGCAGCUUAACUGUAAAAUUGCCGUUGAAACUGCCGGUCUUGAGUGCAAAUGAGGUAGGCGGAAUGCGUCGUGUAGCGGUGAAAUGCUUAGAUAUGACGCAGAACUCCGAUUGCGAAGGCAGCUUACUAAACUACUACUGACGCUCAGGCACGAAGGCGUGGGGAUCAAACAGGAUUAGAUACCCGGGUAGU